CAGACCAUCCGCCACACCUUUGUUUUUGUUGUUCUACUAUGUAAGAUGCUCAUAAUGACACUCUUCUUAUAUGGUGGACAUAAAUGAAUGCACAAAAAUUAUAAAGCAAAAUUCCCUAACAUUACAACUCAAGUUUGCUAAUGAAUUGGCGAACUGUUACUCCAAUCGUGCGUAAUGUUUAAUGCUCCAUCUAUAAAAAGAUAGGU
This 206-nucleotide long non-coding RNA is filed under the name Carica papaya (papaya). RNAcentral's name for it is "long non-coding RNA (CPAP_LNC013449)". Lineage: Eukaryota; Viridiplantae; Streptophyta; Magnoliopsida; Brassicales; Caricaceae. The record is from RNAcentral.